CAUUCCUGCUGCCAGCGGUGAAAUACAGGAAUGGCUCCAGUUUCUAGUCGUCCACCUGAACUGAGUCUGCACUGACUAAAUCAGUUUAGUAGUGGAACGAGUCAGCAGAUGACUUAGUCCUCUCCGGAAUAUCGCUGAACGGGGAAGGUCUCCUCUUCGUUAUGUCGGAGCCAUUCCUGUAUUUAGUCGCUAGUGUUUAAUUUGUGGGAUGAAUUGAAUCUUGUGCACUUUUGCGUGCUUUACGCCCCAUAAUAUCCUCCUAGAUUAUAUAGAAGAUGCAUACUGAUGGCAAAGACAUGCAAGAUUAUAUGGAAGAUGCUUCCUGAUUGGGAUGUCAGCAAGCUGCAUGCCUGUCUGUGCCCUGAUGGCAAUCAUACACAUGCUUUCCAGUGAUGAUAAAAGGAACUCCAUCAUAUGUUAUCCUUGGUUGGGACAUUGGAGUAUUGGGAUCUUCAAAAAAUACCUUUUUUCCUCUCAUUUUCUACAUUCUCUGAAAUGAAUGAAACAGGCAUUACAAGUUGAAUAGCCAUGCAGGCAUGCAUGUAUUCAACCAAUCAGUCAGUCAGUUAAUCUGUCUGGCUGUCUGCCUAUAUAGAUCAGUCAGUCAGUCAGUCAGUCAGUUAGUCAUAUCACUCAGUCAAUCAGUCAGUCAGUCAUUUCAGUGCAUUUUUUAAAGCAUGGAACAACCCUUAGUUAAAAAAAAGUGGUUUUACUUUCUGCUUAAGGCUUUCUUCCUUCAACUCUGCUGUCAAAGGGAUAAAAGGAACACUAAAAUGUUACUUAACUUGGUCUCUGUAACAGUUCUGAGUUUGUGUGUGGGUCUGCAAAGAGUGCUCAUCAUUUAUUAUUAAUUUAGGUGGCUGAUUGUUAAUGGACAGUUAUCAAGAUUUAGAUACUUAUGCCCCCAGUGGUCUAAAAUAGGGAAUGCUUUUGGUACUCUGCCUGGAUAUGUGUACAGUGUUGAGAUAAAACUAAUUUUCCUCUUUAAAAACAGGGAAUUUCAAUAUGCAUAUAUUAUUUUGGAGAAGUGUACUAAUUUACAAAUGUCUUGAGUAGGGUAUUGAAUUGUGGGAGUGCUAUCCCUUCUCCCUCCAAGAUAACCACAAAAUCUCAGCUGUAAUGC
RNAcentral lists this long non-coding RNA (1123 nucleotides) under Stylophora pistillata. RNAcentral describes it as "uncharacterized LOC111325292, transcript variant X2". The record is from RNAcentral. Lineage: Eukaryota; Metazoa; Cnidaria; Anthozoa; Scleractinia; Pocilloporidae.